Molecule: ribosomal RNA, 1325 nt
Filed under: Vibrio sp. 2C5
Lineage: Bacteria; Pseudomonadati; Pseudomonadota; Gammaproteobacteria; Vibrionales; Vibrionaceae
Description: bacterial SSU rRNA
Rfam family: Bacterial small subunit ribosomal RNA
Source: RNAcentral
GAGCGGCGGACGGGUGAGUAAUGCCUAGGAAAUUGCCCUGAUGUGGGGGAUAACCAUUGGAAACGAUGGCUAAUACCGCAUAAUGCCUACGGGCCAAAGAGGGGGACCUUCGGGCCUCUCGCGUCAGGAUAUGCCUAGGUGGGAUUAGCUAGUUGGUGAGGUAAUGGCUCACCAAGGCGACGAUCCCUAGCUGGUCUGAGAGGAUGAUCAGCCACACUGGAACUGAGACACGGUCCAGACUCCUACGGGAGGCAGCAGUGGGGAAUAUUGCACAAUGGGCGCAAGCCUGAUGCAGCCAUGCCGCGUGUGUGAAGAAGGCCUUCGGGUUGUAAAGCACUUUCAGUCGUGAGGAAGGUGGUGGUGUUAAUAGCACUAUCAUUUGACGUUAGCGACAGAAGAAGCACCGGCUAACUCCGUGCCAGCAGCCGCGGUAAUACGGAGGGUGCGAGCGUUAAUCGGAAUUACUGGGCGUAAAGCGCAUGCAGGUGGUUUGUUAAGUCAGAUGUGAAAGCCCGGGGCUCAACCUCGGAAUAGCAUUUGAAACUGGCAGACUAGAGUACUGUAGAGGGGGGUAGAAUUUCAGGUGUAGCGGUGAAAUGCGUAGAGAUCUGAAGGAAUACCGGUGGCGAAGGCGGCCCCCUGGACAGAUACUGACACUCAGAUGCGAAAGCGUGGGGAGCAAACAGGAUUAGAUACCCUGGUAGUCCACGCCGUAAACGAUGUCUACUUGGAGGUUGUGGCCUUGAGCCGUGGCUUUCGGAGCUAACGCGUUAAGUAGACCGCCUGGGGAGUACGGUCGCAAGAUUAAAACUCAAAUGAAUUGACGGGGGCCCGCACAAGCGGUGGAGCAUGUGGUUUAAUUCGAUGCAACGCGAAGAACCUUACCUACUCUUGACAUCCAGAGAACUUUCCAGAGAUGGAUUGGUGCCUUCGGGAACUCUGAGACAGGUGCUGCAUGGCUGUCGUCAGCUCGUGUUGUGAAAUGUUGGGUUAAGUCCCGCAACGAGCGCAACCCUUAUCCUUGUUUGCCAGCGAGUAAUGUCGGGAACUCCAGGGAGACUGCCGGUGAUAAACCGGAGGAAGGUGGGGACGACGUCAAGUCAUCAUGGCCCUUACGAGUAGGGCUACACACGUGCUACAAUGGCGCAUACAGAGGGCAGCAAGCUAGCGAUAGUGAGCGAAUCCCAAAAAGUGCGUCGUAGUCCGGAUUGGAGUCUGCAACUCGACUCCAUGAAGUCGGAAUCGCUAGUAAUCGUGGAUCAGAAUGCCACGGUGAAUACGUUCCCGGGCCUUGUACACACCGCCCGUCACACCAUGGGAGUGGG